RNAcentral lists this ribosomal RNA (254 nucleotides) under uncultured bacterium. RNAcentral's name for it is "partial 16S ribosomal RNA". It matches the Rfam family "Bacterial small subunit ribosomal RNA", at positions 524 to 776 of the family's 1533-position model. The record is from RNAcentral.
UACGGAGGGUGCAAGCGUUAUCCGGAUUUACUGGGUUUAAAGGGUGCGUAGGUGGGUAGGUAAGUCAGUGGUGAAAUCUUCGAGCUUAACUCGGAAACUGCCAUUGAUACUAUUUAUCUUGAAUACUUUGGAGGUAAGCGGAAUAUGUCAUGUAGCGGUGAAAUGCUUAGAUAUGACAUAGAACACCAAUUGCGAAGGCAGCUUACUACACAGUUAUUGACACUGAGGCACGAAAGCGUGGGGGAUCAAACAGG